GACGAACGCUGGCGGCGUGCUUAACACAUGCAAGUCGAACGGAAAGGCCCUGCUUUUGUGGGGUGCUCGAGUGGCGAACGGGUGGGUAACACGUGAGUAACCUGCCCUUGACUUUGGGAUAACUUCAGGAAACUGGGGCUAAUACCGGAUAGGAGCUCCUGCUGCAUGGUGGGGGUUGGAAAGUUUCGGCGGUUGGGGAUGGACUCGCGGCUUAUCAGCUUGUUGGUGGGGUAGUGGCUUACCAAGGCUUUGACGGGUAGCCGGCCUGAGAGGGUGACCGGCCACAUUGGGACUGAGAUACGGCCCAGACUCCUACGGGAGGCAGCGGUGGGAAGUAUUGCACAGUGGGCGGAAGCCUGGUGCAGCGACGCCGCGUGCGGGAUGACGGCCUUCGGGUUGUAAACCGCUUUCGCCUGUGACGAAGCGUGAGUGACGGUAAUGGAUAAAGAAGCACCGGCUAACUACGUG
Molecule: ribosomal RNA, 468 nt
Filed under: uncultured bacterium
Lineage: Bacteria
Description: partial 16S ribosomal RNA
Rfam family: Bacterial small subunit ribosomal RNA
Source: RNAcentral